GUGACACCUCCAUGGAGCAGGACUUGUUUCAGUGUUUCUUUGCUGCUCACUGAGUCUGCCCCUUGAGUGUGUCACU
RNAcentral lists this microRNA precursor (76 nucleotides) under Myotis davidii. RNAcentral describes it as "mir-9229 microRNA precursor family". It matches the Rfam family "mir-9229 microRNA precursor family". Lineage: Eukaryota; Metazoa; Chordata; Mammalia; Chiroptera; Vespertilionidae. The record is from Rfam by way of RNAcentral.